Long non-coding RNA from Vespa mandarinia (Asian giant hornet), 709 nucleotides. RefSeq lists it as uncharacterized. The record is from RefSeq and is a predicted model, not a curated record. Lineage: Eukaryota; Metazoa; Arthropoda; Insecta; Hymenoptera; Vespidae.
GGUAUGGAAAGAGUAUAUUUCGUCAUUUACUCCUUGGAGUACGAAAGCAGACUGACGUAGAAACUCGCAUUGUCCUUCCAAUGGUCCUUCUCGUUGGCAUUAAACGAUCAACGCACGCUGAAAGGAGAAUAUUUCAAGUUUAACGCGUCAUAAGAGUGGGAAGUUCAUUAUACAGAUGGCGUACUGACUGCGCUUGCGCGUAGGUCCAGUCUUCUCGCUAUUGGUGAUUCCGCCAUUUGGAAUUAUGCCGUCGUAUCAGUCGCAACAGAUCUUCGUCGUCUCGUUAAUUACAGCGGUGUACUUGAACUACGGAGUCCACUACGCGUUCCAUGCUGGUGUUCUCAUCGCCAUCUUGGACACAGUGUUUCGUCGCUCGGCAUAAUUACAGCGCGGCAACGGGAAAAGAUCUACAGUUGCAGUUAAUUUAAGCUCGAGACCGAACAAUAUUACGGCAUGACGAAGUUUCAUGAAGUCAGGAACGGAAAAAAGGAUCAACGCGGCAAGGCCCAAAAGGACAAAUAUGCCAUCACAACGUGGAGAAUGAAUCCUUGAGUUUUUUCAAGGAUCUAAAAUAAGAGAAUUAAAUUAUACAUUGCAUGGAACAUAUCCAGAGGAACAAUGUAACUUGGAAAUUGCAACAGAUAGAAUUGAGUACAACUCGACUUCCCUGAGAGAAACGCAACUUUUUAGAUUUUAUCGUGAUCAAUUC